CAAGUCUCUGCUUACCGACCGCACCACCUCCCACCCCAAGUGUUCUCAGGAACACUGAGAUCUUAUUUGCCACACAUUCUUCCACACCUCCAAUCACAGAGGACAACCAUGGAAGAUGCUGUAACACACCCACAACGUGUAUAGCCUAUAUACAUGUUAGCCAGCUGUAUAGUAUACAUAUGUAUAUAUACAUAGAAGCCAGCACGGCUACUUCUUCCCAUUGCAGAUGCAGAAGAACUUUGGGGAAAAUAACUACAUCCUGUGUAAUGAGUCCUUUGUUCAUACUUGAGUCCAAUCCCAAUGGUGUGUGUCAACUGGCUGACCAUCCAGGUCUCCAUGGAGAUGACAUGACUGCUGGCUCCCCAACAGAGUUUCCAAGCUCAGAAAAAGCAGCAUAGAGGCAGAAUCUCUGGGCCAGAUCAAACAAUGUCCUUGAAUUUGUCCU
RNAcentral lists this long non-coding RNA (445 nucleotides) under Rattus norvegicus (Norway rat). RNAcentral describes it as "long non-coding RNA NONRATT002117". The record is from RNAcentral. Lineage: Eukaryota; Metazoa; Chordata; Mammalia; Rodentia; Muridae.